RNAcentral lists this ribosomal RNA (408 nucleotides) under uncultured bacterium. Its description in RNAcentral is "partial 16S ribosomal RNA". It matches the Rfam family "Bacterial small subunit ribosomal RNA", at positions 28 to 526 of the family's 1533-position model. The record is from RNAcentral.
GACGAACGCUGGCGGCGUGCUUAACACAUGCAAGUCGAACGGAGUGGCGAACGGGUGAGUAACACGCGGGUGACCUGCCCUGCACUUCGUGAUAUGACUGGGCAACUGGGUCUAAUACCGGAUAGUGUGGGAUGGGCCCGCGGCCUAUCAGCUUGUUGGUGGGGUAAUGGCCUACCAGGGCGGCGACGGGUAGCCGGCCUGAGUGGGUGGACGGCCAAAUUGGGGCUGAGACACGGCCCAGACUCCUACGGGAGGGAGCAGUGGGGAAUAGUGCACAAUGGGCGCAAGCCUGAUGCAGGGACGCCGCGUGGGUGAUGACGGCCUUCGGGUUGUAAUCUCCAUGCACCAUCGACGCGGUAGAUGGAGAAGAAGCACCGGCUAACUACGUGCCAGCAGCCGCGGUAAUUC